Molecule: ribosomal RNA, 835 nt
Filed under: Pseudocyphellaria crocata
Lineage: Eukaryota; Fungi; Ascomycota; Lecanoromycetes; Peltigerales; Lobariaceae
Description: LSU rRNA
Rfam family: Eukaryotic large subunit ribosomal RNA
Source: RNAcentral
CAGGGAUUGCCUCAGUAACGGCGAGUGAAGCGGCAACAGCUCAAAUUUGAAAUCUGACCCCUUCGGGGCCCGAGUUGUAAUUUGUAGAGGGUGUUUCGGGCGCGGCGCCGGUUUAAGUUCCUUGGAACAGGACGUCACAGAGGGUGAGAAUCCCGUACGUGACCGGCGAUCAAGCCCAUGUGAAGCCCCUUCGACGAGUCGAGUUGUUUGGGAAUGCAGCUCAAAAUGGGUGGUAAAUUUCAUCUAAAGCUAAAUAUUGGCCAGAGACCGAUAGCGGACAAGUAGAGUGAUCGAAAGAUGAAAAGCACUUUGGAAAGAGAGUCAAACAGUACGUGAAAUUGUUGAAAGGGAAGCGCUUGCAAUCAGACCGGUCCGGGGGCGAUCAGCCGCUGCUCGUCAGCGGUGCACUCGCCCUCGAUCCGGCCAGCAUCGGUUUGGGCGGCGGGAGAAAAGGCCCGGGAAUGUAGCUUCCUUCGGGGAGUCUUAUAGCCCGGGUCGGCAUGCCGCCCGCCUGGACCGAGGACCGCGCUUCGGCUAGGAUGCUGGCGUAAUGGUUGCAAGCGACCCGUCUUGAAACACGGACCAAGGAGUCUAACAUCUAUGCGAGUGUUUGGGUGUCAAACCCGGGCGCGGAAUGAAAGUGAACGGAGGUGGGAACCCGUCAGACGGCGCACCAUCGACCGAUCCAGAUGUCUUCGGAUGGAUUUGAGUACGAGCAUAGCUGUUGGGACCCGAAAGAUGGUGAACUAUGCCCGGAUAGGGUGAAGCCAGAGGAAACUCUGGUGGAGGCUCGCAGCGGUUCUGACGUGCAAAUCGAUCGUCAAAUCUAGGCAUA